CCUACGGGAGGCAGCAGUGAGGAAUAUUGGUCAAUGGACGAGAGUCUGAACCAGCCAAGUAGCGUGAAGGAUGACUGCCCUAUGGGUUGUAAACUUCUUUUAUAAAGGAAUACAACGAGGCACGUGUGCCUUUUUGCAUGUACUUUAUGAAUAAGGAUCGGCUAACUCCGUGCCAGCAGCCGCGGUAAUACGGAGGACCCGAGCGUUAUCCGGAUUUAGUGGGUUUAAAGGAAGCGUAGAUGGGUUGUUAAGUCAGUUGUGAAAGUUUGCGGCUCAACCGUAAAAUUGCAAUUGAUACUGGCAGUCUUGAGUACAGUUGAGGUAGGCGGAAUUCGUGGUGUAGCGGUGAAAUGCUUAGAUAUCACGAAGAACCCCGAUUGCGAAGGCAGCUUACUAAACUGUGACUGACAUUGAUGCUCGAAAGUGUGGGUAUCAAACAGGAUUAGAUACCCCAGUAGUC
Molecule: ribosomal RNA, 460 nt
Filed under: uncultured bacterium
Lineage: Bacteria
Description: partial 16S ribosomal RNA
Rfam family: Bacterial small subunit ribosomal RNA
Source: RNAcentral